RNAcentral lists this ribosomal RNA (327 nucleotides) under uncultured Pseudomonadota bacterium. Its description in RNAcentral is "bacterial SSU rRNA". It matches the Rfam family "Bacterial small subunit ribosomal RNA", at positions 30 to 351 of the family's 1533-position model. The record is from RNAcentral. Lineage: Bacteria; Pseudomonadati; Pseudomonadota.
AUUGAACGCUGGCGGCAUGCCUUACACAUGCAAGUCGAACGGCAGCAUGGAGGAGCUUGCUCCUCUGAUGGCGAGUGGCGAACGGGUGAGUAAAGCAUCGGAACGUACCGUGUAGUGGGGGAUAACGUAGCGAAAGUUACGCUAAUACCGCAUACGCACUGAGGUGGAAAGCAGGGGAUCGCAAGACCUUGCGCUAUACGAGCGGCCGAUGUCAGAUUAGCUAGUUGGUAGGGUAAUGGCCUACCAAGGCUGUGAUGGGUAGCCGGCCUGAGAGGGUGAUCGGCCACACUGGAACUGAGACACGGUCCAGACUCCUACGGGUGGCUG